RNAcentral lists this long non-coding RNA (16255 nucleotides) under Populus tremula. RNAcentral describes it as "long non-coding RNA (PTRE_LNC002920)". The record is from RNAcentral. Lineage: Eukaryota; Viridiplantae; Streptophyta; Magnoliopsida; Malpighiales; Salicaceae.
UAAACGAGAAGCGCAGCAUCAUUGGAAAGUCUUUUGAAAAUCGUCCCUGGGAUGCAAGAGGAGAAUUCAUCGGUGGUAAUGUUGUUGUACCGUCUUAACUAUUAUCCUUCUCUGGUUUUUCCCAUCCCGUGUCUUUAUGAUUCACCAGUUUUCUAAAUUUUCUAAAUUUUAUUUCCUGAGAAAAAUAGAAACCUCCCUUGGUAUAAUAUUUUGUACUCAAGAUACUGUAUUUGUGUAUUUACGAAGUUUGCUGUUUUGUCAGAAAUUUUGCAAAUUAAACGAGAACAAGAUUAAUUUACAAAGAAAAAAAACUUGAAACUUAAUUAUUAGCAAAUUAAACGUUGAAUGAUAAAUUGAAUUUUAAAAAAAAAAAAAUAUGACUAUGUUAAACUUAUGAUCAGUUUGUGAGGUCAAGAAAACCCUACAUAAAAAAAGCUGAAUAAAACAAUGGUGGUUAACUCUAAAAAAAUGAAAAGCCAAAUUAAAAAAAAAAACAUAAAAAAAAACUCUAAAUUGAUUCGGAUUAACUUAACUAACUUGAUAUCUAAGAUAAGAAUAACUGCGUAAAAAAAAAUUAAAAAAUAAAAAACUUGAAGAUCCAUUAAUUUAAUAUCAAAUGAUGAAAUUAAAAAAAAUCUAAAAAAAAAAAACUAAAGUUAAUUCGGGUUAAUUUUCAAAACUCGUGACUCAAUUCACAAGACUAGUCACCAACAUCAAAUUAAAAGUUUAUCCUAACACGCGCCACUCAUGAAUAGAAAGAGGAGAUUCAAAUGUCAUCUGAAAGUUGGUAUUUGACAUUCGAGCACCGCUUGCUCAACCAAAAAUAAGAGGUCACAACCUGAAUAUUAUUGCGUGUAAUGCAUAUCUCAAUUAUUUUUCUAAUAAUAUUUAUAUUUUUUAUAACAUUAAAUUGUCCCUCGAUUUAUGUGAUUAUAAAAAAAUAUAAAUAACCUCAUGAAAGCAAGUUUGGUAACUAGGUAAUUUAGUAAUUUUAUUGUUUUGAAAAAAGUGAGAAGACUGAAGAAUUUUUGGGCUCUAGUUUAAAAAAUUUUACUUUUGUAUAUAAUUAAGUCAUUUUAAUAUAUUAAAAAAAUAAAAAUAUCGAUUUAACCUCGGUCAAUUUUGAUAGUGCCAAAAGAGCUUAGUGAAAAAACCAUUUUUCCCCGUAAUUAAUCCGUUCAUUGGUUUUUUCCAUGGAGAACAAAAACAUUACAUUUUAGUUAUCCGUGGUAUAAUUAGUCUUGAUCAACAGUAAAACACUAGUGCAUCUUGUUGCAUAAAGGGUUUUUUCACUGCCAUUAAAUGUUCAGAUUUUCAUGCGAUCGUUUUGGUACAUUGACUAAUUGAGGCCGAAAGUCUCAAGCAAUCUGGAGGUAGAUAGCAUCCACGCCUAAUACUUGUAGCAUUGAAGAGUUAUAACUUGCAGGUAUAGUGUUUUAAACUGCAGGGGUGACUUGUCAUUUUUUGAUAUUCACGUAAUGCACAGUAUGGUGUCUUCUAAAACAGGACCACCAAAAUAAAUUCAAUAUUGAUUUCGAUUAAAAAACAUUCUUUAAUGUACAUGAACAAAUAACGCCUCGUACUUUUGUUAUGUAUCAAAUACCAACAGCUUCAGUUUCUAAUUCAAAUGAAAAGAAAAAAAAGUUUUGCUCUACUAAUAAGCUGACUACAAAGUCUUGCACAAUAAUUAUCAACUAUCUGCAUGCUGAAGCAUGAAAAAGUAAAAAAAAGAAGACAGAAAAACUGGGGUGAGGAAUUAACAACAAAUCACAAAAACUCUCCUGAGAUGAUUUUCUCUAAGUAAGUGCAGUGACCAAAAGUUAUUCAACUGUCCAUACACUAGCACACUUACUAUCACAGUCACAAGGGAGUUACGAUAUAAAAAGAAAUUCCCUAUACUCUCUUACGAAGAUCCAAAAAAACAGGAUUGUUAGUAGAGAAGCUGGCCAAUGGGACCCAUUUUUAGUAGAUUCUGGAAUUGCUCUUACAUAAUCCUUAAGGUAAAGCUCCCUUCUGACAGCUUUUGCAGAAGCUCGGGCUGUUGAUCCAUAGGAACAACCUCCUGAAUUUUGUCCAUGAAUCCAGACCAGUCACCCAUACCUAGCUGGAAGAUCAUAACAAUGCAAACACUAUGAGAAUCAAAAACAUCCACAUAAAUUUCAGAGGUCAGAACAACAUCAAAGCAAAGGCGUCAAACUGAAAGAAAGCAGGAGAAUACCUAGAAGGCGACUAACAAAAGGUUUAACUUCAAAGACUUCAAACACAUCCAUAUGCAACUUGACCGAUACUGCUAUCCGUAACAAAUAUAACAAGUUCGGGUUUCUGGAAGACACAAAACGAAAAAGGAAUCAGAUUUUACUGCAAUAACAAUCAACAAUUAAUAAUAAAAACAACGAAGCAUGAAACCAAUAAUAAUUAAAGAAUAACAUACCGUUGCUUCAGAAACUUGACGGAUUUCUUCAAAAAGUGCAGCUUCCUGUUUAUGCAGUCCAUGUGAGUGUUAUUGUGAGUUUAUCUGGUUAAUUCGUAUCAAUUUAAAUUUUUUAUUUUUUAUUAUUUUUUAUUAUGUGAUAUUAUAUUUAGCAGGUUAACUCAAAUUAAUUUUAUUUUUUUAUUUAUUUUAUACAUGGUUAUCAUGGUUUUUUAAUCCAGAUUGCAGAUUUAACAGAUUAAUUUAAUAUAUUAUUUUUUAAAAAAAAAGUGUUUUGAAUGUUUGUAAAUAAAUGAUAUUUUUAUUAGUUAUUUAAAUUAUUUUUAAAUUCAUUGAGAUAAUUAUAUCAUAUUGAAUGAACCUUCCUUCACUGUUUUAAACUCAUUUGUUUUAUACACUGGUCUUCAUGCUGUCUCUGAUGGAUUGAUCUCCUUCUAGUUUGUUGUUCCUGCGUGUAUGAUCUUCUUCUAGGUUCGUCUUCUCCUCGUCGCCUGUUUGUCGAUUCUUAUGAGUUCUUGGAACAUCUUUUAUCCGUGGGAUUAUAGGAGGGUUCGAUAUAUUAAGUCAGCUGAUUUGUCCCUUACCCGCUCGUGUUUCUUUUCAGAAAAAGUCACUCGUACACACAGCUUUUUAUAAAAUACGAAGUCCUAAUCAAUGUAACUACUGCUGCCCUCCGCCGUUCAUUUUUCAAGAGUGUUUUUUUUUUCUUUAUUUUUCUACAUCUAUAUUUGUUUUUCUAUAAUUUUUUACUUCAAUAUUUACUUUAAUAAAAAUUAAAUUUCAUAAUUUAUUAUGAUUUGCUUUAUAAAUAAUUAGGUUAAUCUUAUAACCUGCAUGUAUUAUGAAUUUAUCGGGUUAACUCGAUUGAUUAAAAUUUGUUUUGUGUUUUUCUAAUUGAUAUUUUUUUUUACUUAAAAUCUUCUAUAUUAAGUUGGUUAGAAAUCAAAUUUCAUGAUUUAUUCUAGUAUCAUGACUCAUGGUAUUGGUUUGAUGGGUUUAUCCAGUUGAUUCGAGUUUUUUUAUUUUUUUAAUUGAUUUUUUUUAAUUUCUUUACUCUAGAAAAAUAUUAAAUUAACUUGGGUUAACCUAAAUCAAUUAAGUAUAUUAUUGUUUUGAUAUUAUAUAUUUUUUUAAAAAAUUCUUAAAUAUUUAUGAAUUAAAUAAUAUUUUUACCAAUUCUUCAAAUUAUCUUCAAAUUCAUCCAAUUAAUUACAUCAUGUUGAAUGAACCUCCCCCACAGAAACAUGUUGAUAAUGAUAGCCACCCUAAUCAAUGUAACUAUUGCUGCACUCCAUUUUCGAACUCUGCUGUUGAUUUUUCAGCGUCCACAUUUUCCCUGGUCCCUUUUAGGGGCAAUUAAAGUGUAAUUAAAGUCUAAUAAUCGACUUGGUUUGCAGACUCUUUCCUCGGUAUUGCUUGCAAGAUGAACCGUGGAUCUCUGUUUUCCUUAUCUUCAAUCAACUAAAAUAAUUGAACCCGAAAGCAACGCGGAUUAGAACAUGCCACAACUUUAUUUUGAAAAUAUUUCGCAGGAUUGUGUGUUUUAUAAAUUAAAAAAAAACCAUCUUGUUUUUAAAGGUAUAUUUAAGAUUGUGAUAAUGAUAAUAGUUCAAAAUAUUUUUUAAAUUUUUUUAAAAAAAUAUUAUUUUUUAUAUUAGUAUAUCAAAACGAUUUAAAUAAAUAAAAAAAUUUAAAAUUUAAAAGAACACAUUGUACCGCAUUUUCAAAUACUCCUGAUUACAAACACAAGUCUUGUCUUGUCUUGUGUAGAGAUGAGAAGGGAUAGUUUAUUUUUGCCAUUAAAAAUAUAAAAAAUAUAAUUUUUUUUUAUUUUAAAUUAGUUUUUUUUAGUAAUUUGGGACGUUGGUAUAAAAAAUAAAAUUUAAAAAUAAAAAAAUAUUAUUAUUUUAAUUUAUUUUUAAAUAAAAAAACUUUAAAAAACUAAUAUCUCAGCGGUCUUUUCUAAUAUCCAACACAAAUCUAGCCUACUUGUCUUGUUUCUUUCUUCUUCUUUUUUUGCCAUUUGGUGAUUAAAAUAAUCAGGUCUUCUAGCUAGGUCGUUGAUAACUGACAAGGAGGACCUCAAACGAAAUGCCGUGUGUUUGCUCUGUCAACUGAAGUCUCCUUGAGAACUUCCACAGAAGUCUCCUCACGCAUGCUCUAACCUAACCCAUGCACUCCUAUAUAAACAGCAAGAACUGCCUCCCAGAUUUCCAUCUUCAAACAACUUGAGCAUUACUUUACUCCCUCCUCUGUUUCUUCAAAACCUCCCCAAAAGACCAAAACCCUCACUUUUGGUGUCUCCUGGACUGUAAAGAGCUCCUUAUUCAUAUCACCAUCUUUCCAACAACCAAGACCAUGAAGGUACGUAUGGUUUUGUGAUCAGAACACAAGUGUAUUACUAGCUUGUUCGUGAAGAUAUUAUGUGUGUUACUUUCAUGUUAUUGAUUAAUUGUGCUAAACUAUUGCAGCAAAAGAUAGUGAUCAUCAGGUGACGGGGAAGGGAGCGAAGUCCGGCACCAAAGCCCUGCAGAUUGCAGCUGGGCUUUCAGGUACUGAACAAAACCUUCCAUGCACACAAGUUUUAGAAUCGGAAUACCUAAUAGAAACCAUGCAUCUGUGGGCAAAUUCAGAUGAUCAAGUUGUUGACGGGUUUAUACAUCUUUUUGUGAUUCUGCAGGUGUUGAAUCUGCUGGUAUAGGAGGGCAGGAUAAGAGCCAGAUAGAGGUGGUAGGCGAUGGAGUCGAUGCAGUACAACUUACAAAUUUGCUGAGAAAGAAAGUAGGCUACGCAGAGCUAGCAAGUGUACAAGCUGUGGGAGAAAAGAAAGAAGAGCCAGCAGUGCAGCCGGUUGCUUGGUCCGUGUAUGGUGGAAGCAUGCCUGAGACCUUUAUUUAUCCGAUUCACCCCCAUCAGGACCCUUGUUGCUCCAUCAUGUAGUUACCAAACAGGCUAGCCAGAAGCAGAGAGAGAGAGAGACUGAAGAGGAGUCUGUUUAUUUAUAUAUAUUGUAGAACAUGUUGGGCCGCUGCUGUUCCAUGUCUGAAAGGGGGGGGGAUGGUGAGGGAAACUGGGAUCACAUAUGGACGUGCCACGUGUAAACAAGCUUCUUUGCCUGUAUCAACUUUUCAUUUAACAGGAGUGACAAAUCUGGAUGUUGGGUCAUGGGUGAACAAAAAACAUGGUGAUUCAGUCGUUAUUCAACACAAUAAUAUCAACUUUUGAACCAACUCGAGCACCAUAUUGGCGCAUCUUCUCUCUUUUUUCUUUUUUCUUUUUGUAUCAAAGGCAAAUCCUGUCCAGUGAACAAUUAACAAUUAUUAACUAAAACAAAACUCUAAACGGUAUGGAAAAAUACUACGUGGAUACUGUAGAUAAAGGGGUGUUUUAGAAUAUGUAAAUAAAUUGUUUUAUUUUCUAAAAAAAAAUUAAAAUAUUAUUUUUAUUUUAAAAAAAUUAUUUUUAAUAUUAAUAUAUCAAAAUAAUUUAAAAAUAAAUUAAAAUUCAUAACUUGUGAAAUCACGGUUCAGGAAAGACAAAUGAUGGCUAAGACUCCGUUAACUGUAGAAUAUAUAGCACUAUAAGUGCUUGUUUUAGAGUGUAGUUGUGAUUGUUUUUUAAAUAAGUACUUGUUUUAGAAUGUAGUUGUGAUUGUUUUUUAAAAUAUAUUUUACUUAGAAUUAUAUCAAAAUAAUAUUUUUUAUUUUUAAAAAAUUAUUUUUUAUAUAAGCGUAUCAAAAAAUAUCAAAAAAAAUAUUAAUUUAAUAUAAAAAAAAUUAAAAAAUUUUAAAUUUUUUUAAAAAUAUUUUUAAAACGCAAAAACAAAUAGAUUUAUAUCUAGAUACCUCAUCUUUCCAAGGUUGUGGAAUGAUUCUAAUUUUUUUGAGAACCGUGAUAUAAAUUGUGUUUUUUUUUUUUUAUUAAAAAUUAAUUUUUUUAAUAUUUAUAUAUUAUUUUAAAAUAAUGAUAUUAAAAAUAUUUUUUUAAACAAAAAUUUUAAUAUAUUUUUAAUAAAAAAUACUUUAAACAAAAAUAAUUGAUACCAUUUCAAUCAAUCCAGCGUUCAGUGUGGUUCAGUCAAUUAAUGGUGCGGCUUUCCAUUGCUCUCAUCGCGCCUUGGGUUGUUGGCGCAUUUUAUUCCGGUCUUGUCUGUUGCCUCAGAGAAAACGACCCGGGGUCAUGAUCAUGCAUUGAAUGCAAUGCCCACUUGGCUGGGCCCUUCGCUCUUUAACGUUGGAAGAGGUGCUGAUUAUUGGGUUUGAUUGGACGUGUACUUGAUCUACACUGUUGACUGGGGAAUUCCAGUUCCAGGUCUCUUCUCUCUUUUUUUGUGCUCACAAGCUGUUUGGUCGAUGACAAGUUUGUGAUUUUCAACACUCUUCUGGUUUGGUUAGUUUUUUUUGCUCAUUUUAGUUGGCCUUUACUUGCCCUUCUAUCAUUUCAGGUUCUGUUUGAUUUGUUUUUAUUUGUUAUAUCAUGCUAGUGCUGUCCUAGGGCUUCCCAUGCUUUCACAUCCCCUUUUUUUAUGUUUUUGGGCUUGGGUCGCGUCGGUAGGUUCAUUUGCUUCUCCUUUUUAUUUUCUUUCAUGCCUCCCUCUUAGGUCUGGCUCGUUGUUUUUUCUGUUCAUUCUAUUUCUGUCAUUGUUUGUUCCUGCUGGUGCUUAUUUUUGCCCAUUUUUUGUUGCUUUCUUUUCGUUAUCUUUUGUUUCCUUGUUCUUUUAUGCUGGUUUCUUUGAGACCAUCUUGCUGUUUCUUAAAUGGAUUUGAUUGGAUAUGUAUGCAGGUUUGUGUGGUCUUCAUGCUGUCUCUGACGGACUGAUCUCCUUCUCGUUUACUGUUCCUGCGUGUCUGAUCUCCUUAUAGGUUCGUCUUCUCCUCGUCGCCUGUUCUUAUGAGUUCUUGGAACAUCCUUUAUCCGUGGGAUUAUGGGUGUUUAUUGAUUGCUGCUUUGAGGACAGUGCAUCCUUAUCAGGAUUUUUACGGUGUGAGUUGCGGUUGGUAUUACUGUAACUAUUAUAGAGUGUUAUUUAAAAAAAAAUAUUUUUAGUUAAAAUUAACUUGGAAAAAUAUAUAUUUAGUUAAAAUUAUAAUUGAAAUAAAGAUUAAACAAAAAAUAAUUUAAUAUAUUUGUUUAAAAAUAUUUUUGAAAUUGAGGUUAUAAAAUAAAUUUAAAAAAUAUAUAUUAAUAUUAAUUUUUAAUUUAAAUAUUGUUGAUUUUACUAUUACUAUUACAUCAUGAAAUAAAUAAUAUUUUAUAUAAAAUAUUUUUUAUUAUUUCAUUAAACUAUUUACAAUUCCAUCACAUAUGAAAUACAUCCGACAAUGACUACAGUUUUCGCAAAUUUAUAAAGAGCGUAAUAACAUUAGGUAAAAUAUAAUUAAGAACAAAAUUUAAAUUGCAAUCAAAUUUUGUAAAUGCUACGUUAUUAAGUGAUCUUCAUUUAAUUUAUAUAGUGUCAUUGAAUAAUAUUUAACGCUAAUUUUUUAAAUAAAACAUAAUUAAAAAUAAAAAAAAUUAUUUUGUUGGGUUAAACCCGAUUUAAUGCAUUUUUAACUUUAAACUAGAUUGGUACGGCCGGAAUAAUAAAAAUAUGCUUCAUUGUUCAUUAAAAAAAACCAUGAACAAUGAAGCCAGCUUUAUUGUUGAUGGGUUUUUUCAGCACAAGAAGAAUCAAAUCAUAUCAUUGUUUCUAGUAAGCAUGUGGCACAGUCACAAUUGACAGUGGUCCUACCAGUAACAAAAUGAUUUUAGAGUAUUAUCAAAUAACAAUAUUUGUGACUGCUACAAUACUAAAUAACACUUUAGUGAUAAUAAGGUAAGGUCAAGUUAUGAAUAAUUUAAUAUUUUAAUAAUUAUAAAAAGUUAUUUUUUAUUUUUUUAAAAAAAUAUUUAACACGUGUUUGUAAGCUAUAGGCCUCUAAUGGCGCAUGCAGAGUUGUACAGGGUGCACAAUUAAUAAUAUUUUUCAACGAUUUUAGCAUGCCACUUCUCCCACGCGUCUUAUAUUUCAAGUUAGUGGUUCAACAAAUUAUCAUAAAGCAGAAAGUCAAGAUUGCAAUAAAAUAACACAUUUAAGGUUUAAUAUUAUAAUUGUUAAACUUUAUGUGCCAAAUUGGAAAAAUCUAUAAAUUAAAUGACUAAUUGUUUCUUAUGUGAUUUAUUUUCUUAAAAAAAGUCUUGGAUUUGUGAAGGCAAUGAAACAUUCAAUACCUCGCAUUCAAUUUCUAUAUUUACAGUUUUACACGACUUGUAAUUAAAUAUUAGAUUUAUUUAUAACUAUAUUAAAAUAAUAUUUUUUAAAUUUUAUUUUUAAUAUUAAUGUAUUAAAAUAAUUAAAAUUAAUUUAAAAAUAAUUUAAAAUUUUAUGAAAUGAUGGUGUCUGCCCCCACAUAUGCACACUGAAUGUCUUUGCUUGCAUUUAUUUUUCCAGUUAAAUAUUCUUAAGUAUCUAUCCAACAAUAUUUUAAAUUAUUAGCUAACGUGUGUGUUAGUCAAGUAAGCAGCAGCAGCAAAAUCGGUUGAUUCUAGAGCAUUUAAAAAUUUUAAAAAUUAAAAAAAAUUAAAAAAAUUAUUGAAUUUAAAUUAAUAUAUUUUUAAUAUUUUUAAAUCAUUUUAAUAUAUUGAUGUUAAAAAUAAUUUUUUUAAAAUAAAAAUAUUAUUAACAUGUAUUUUGACACGAAAAGUUAUUUAAAAAAUAAAAACAACUAUAUUUCUAAACAAUCUAAUUCAUUUUUUUUUUCUUUUCUUUUCUUCUAAAUAAAAAAGUCACUUGAUAAAAAAAAAAUUGAUGCCUUCCUGUUUUUUUAAGUUUCUAAUUUACUUCCCUUGUUUUUUAUCAUUGCAUGUUUGUCAUCUUGAUUUCUUUUGAAAUCUUUAAAUUUGUUUUUUAUUUUUAUUUUAUUUUUAUUUCAGAUUUAAUCUCUUUUUUAUUUUUAUUUUUAUUUUGUUUUGAUACAUUUUAUAAAAUGUAAGAUUUAUGUCAGCUUUAUUAUUUUAACCCAAUUAGAGAAAAAUAUGACUCUCGAUUCCUAACAAAAUGUAAGAUUUGUGUUGAAAUGUUUCGAAGGAAAGCUGCCUGCCCUCACAAAAUAGAUGAACAGUCCUUCAAGAGAUUUACACAGAUUCCUAGAACUGAUAGCUGUGUAGAAAGUUUGCAAGCAGACCACGCCAAAACAAAGCUUGCGGUGUGGAUGUCAAAAUCAAUUCUUGCCGAGGAAGAUUUCAAGGAUACACCUGAAACACUGCUCCUAAUUCUCCCUGGUAAGGCGAGGAAAAAAGACAGUUCAAGAAAUUUGUUGAUGAUGGGAGUGUUUGAGUGGAUGUUUACCGUUCUGUUUUAAAGUGGUUUUUAUUUAUAAAUAUAUUAAAAUAAUAUUUUUUUUAAUUUUAAAAAAAUAUUUUUAAUAUUAGUAUACCAAAAUAAUCUAAAAAAUGCUAUAUAUAUAUAUAUAUAUUAAUUUAAAGUAAAGAAAAAAAAUUAAAAAUAUCAUUUUAAAAAAAAAUACUUUUAAAACGUAUAAACAAACAAGGUCUUUAAUAGUACAAGCCUUAUCAGAUCUAACUCGGGGAUUGAUCCAGCCAAGAAUACAGGUCUCGGGUUACACGGAUUGAUCCGAGUCAACCUGAAUAAACCCGAAAUUUUUUUAAAAUUUCAUGUGAAAAAAAUUAAAAAAUAAUCCAUGUGAAUAUAGAUUAUACAUGUUAUAUACAAUGAAAUUUAAAAUAUUAUUUUAAAAGAUUUUUUAUCGCACAUUGAAAAAAUACUAAUGUUAUCUUUUCAAGUUAAAGUAUUUAAACUAAAAAGAUUUUUUAUCCUACAUUAAAAAAAAUAACUUUUUUUUUAUGAAUAUAAAAUAUAUAUAUUAAAGAGUUUCAAAUCUUAUAUUAAAAAAAUAAAAUAUUCAUCUAAUAUUUAUAUAAUAAACUUUAAAAAAUAUUAAUAACUAACCAUAUAUAUAUAUAUAUAUAAUAAAAGAUUGGUCUUUAGUUAUGAGAAAAAAAAUAUUUAUAAAAAAACAAUCAGUUUUUUUUUUUAUCACUCAAAUCAUGAAUCAAUCAAUUUUUUAUCUAUCUUAAUUUUUCAUUUCAUUCAGACCGAUUCAACCAUUAAAAUUUAGAUCAAUCCAACAAUUAAUUCGGAUAUAGUAACUAUAAUUCAGCCAGUGUCCGGGGACUAUUUCAUAUUUGACUUGAUGCCCUGCGACCUAUUGAAUGAUGCCUUUGAUGCCUGUAUUUUUUAAAAAAAUAUUAAAUUAAUAAAUUUUUUAUAUAUAAUUUUAAUAUAUAUAUAUAUAUAAAUAAUUUGAAAAAUAUUUUAAUUUAUUUUUAAGUGAAAAAUAUUUUUUAUAUAUAUUGUAUUUGUAAAUAUUUAAAGUUGAUAAAUAAUACUUAUUUAAAUUUUAUUGUUAUUGACCAGUAAGGACUUUAGCAUACUAUAAAUAUUUUAAUAAAUAUAUUUUAUUUAUAUUAAGUAAUUUAUAGCCCUUUUCACUGGAAUUGAUAGAAACAAAAGAGGUGUUAUCUACUAAUUUUUUUUAAAAAAAUAGGAUGGUUCAUCCCUGUAUUUAAAAAUAUAUUAAUAAAAAACAAAAUAAAUUUGGAUGUGCGGGCUGGGUUAAAAAGCCCACGUGUCUAGAUUAUUUUUGUUUUAAUGCUUGGGCCCAAGUAACUUGGGUUUUUUUUUUUUAUUUUAUGUUUUGUUUUUCAAAAAAAUGACAAAUCAAAUCGUUGAACUGAUUGAUUUUAUUAUUUGAUAAUGGGUUUAACAUGUUAAUCCAUGAUUUUGAAUUAUUAUUUGUUUUUUUUAUUUAAUACCUUAUUUGUCAAUGAUUGUUUUUUUUUUCAAAUAUAAUUUAUUUUUCAUUAUUUUUUUUAUUUAAUUAAAACCUAAAAAAUACAAUUUUACUAUUUGCUAUCAAUACCUUUGUUAUCUCGGCUCGAGGUGCAUAUUACCUUUUUUUUUUUUUUUUUUAGAAAAUAUGUUGUUUGGUACAAAAAAAAUCAUGUGUUUUACUAUUGUAUUAUUAAAUAUAAAAUAAUUUUUGGGAUAAAAAUUUACUGAAAUUAAUAAUGUAUAUGACUUACAUGGUGAGUUUACUUAGUUUUUUUUAUAAUAAAUUUUUGUUAUUGAUUUUGUUAUUUAAUAUUAAAUUAAUUAAUGAUUGAGUUAUUUCCUUUUUUUCAAUAUUAUUUUUAUAAAUUUCACAGAUUAGCCUAUGUUAUUCUAGAUAAACCAAAUGUUUUUUCUUCUUGAUAUUAUAUAAAAAUAUUAUUUAAUUUAUAAUUAAAAUCUAUAUGUUUUCAGAAGACACAUCACUAAUGUUUUUUUUAACACUUUUUUUUCCCUCACUUGUGCUUUAUCACGGCCAAUAGACUAGUAAAUUCUAUACAAUCAAUAAAUUCAAUAAUCAAUUUUUUUUAAAAAAAUAAAAUAUAUUUUUGUUAUUUUUAGCAUAUAUGAUAAAAUCAUGCCUAUUUAUUUAUAGAUUUAGAGUAAAACAAAAAUGACAGCAAGUAAGAGAAAGAAACAUCGAUUUCGAUGCCUAAAAAAAGGUGCAGAAUAAAUAAAUGGAGUAGAGUACUUGCCAAGGACAGCAUGUGAUGUUAGAAUACAGUAAACAUCAGAAACUAAGCACUUUUGUCGAAGAAAAUGGUGAGCUCAUGUGUGAAGAGUUUCAGUGAAAGCUUCACUUCAAUGGACUGCUGUUCUUCUUUGCUAACUGCGCGCUUAUCUUCUUCACUAAUAAAACCUCAAUUAUUAACCAGCAGCUUAAUCUCUGGUAGCAUCACCACUAAUUUCGCAAGCAAGAAGUGGAAACCUCAUCGUGUCUUGAAAGUCUCUGCAGGUUCUUUUUCUUACCACAAGUUCAUUCAUUUUGCUCUCGACGAAACCAAACGACACGCCCUUUCGGUCCCUUCUCCUCUCCAGGUAUUACUUCACUUUCUUGCUUGCCGUGUUUAUGGAUUCCAUUGCCUGGAAGCAGAAAUGGGUUGCCUUUGAAUUGAGCCCUUCUCCUCAGUUUUUUUUUUAAAAUCCUCAGUUUUGGGUUUCAGAGGGUUGAAAAUGAAGCUGGGUUUUGGCUUUUGAAUUAUAUAGGAGCUUUUGGCAACUUUUUUGGUCUGUAACUUGGGAAUUGAGGUGACUGAUCCAUGGAAAUGUUUCUGUGAUUUGUCAUGGUUUGGGCCAUUUGAUCCUUCAAAGUCUAUGUUAAUCCUUUUUGAUAUGGAUAAUCUUCUUAUCGUUCUUACGCCGUACUUUUUAGUAAGAUUGCGUUUUCGUCGUUUCGUUUGUUCGGUCUCCAAGGGCCUAGACACUCUUCCUUUUCUUUUAUUUUUUUACUUUUAAACUUAAUUCCUCUUUUAUUUUAUGCAUCUGCGAAUUUUGUUUAAAAAACGCGAGGUAAACUUGAGCAAGGGAUGGAACGUCUUUCUUCAGCAACUUUUAGCAGAGUGGAUGCUUCAUAUCUAAGCCAAAAGAUUCCGUUUUGAUUUGCUUGCAUAUUUUGGCUAUUGUACUCGUUGUUGGUCGUUGUGCAAAUAUGGACUUUGAUGGUUGUAAAGUUGAAAAUAGUUUCUCAUUCGCUUUCCAAUUUGCCAUCAAGGGUUAUACAGCAUCAGGACACCAGUACAGACUCGAUUACCCUAGAGUCAAGAACCCUUUGUUAUUUCAGUACUAUGUUUCAAAUGACUGUGCCUCCUAGCUUCUGCAGAAAGAAAAACAUGUGGUCGUUCUGUUAUUCAUUGCUCAUUGCAAACGGAAUUUCAACAAAAUAAAACAAAUUCUUUGUGCUUCUAUGAAACGAACUCUUUGGCAGCUGAAAAACAAUCAAUUAUUUUAAAUGUUAUUUCAUGAUUACAUACAUGGAUCACAAGAACAACUUUUUUGAGUCUAGGAAAAAUAUAGUUCCAUGACUGCGAUGGAUGGAACAACAGAGCUUCAAAUGCUUUCAUUCCAAGCUCCCAAAAUCAGACUCCUACGUAGUUUGAGCAUUGAAAAUGAAGCAAUGCAGGUACCAUUCUCUAGCAAGCUUGUUGCUUUUAUGUACUUUUGCACCCUCAAGUGUUAGAGGGAAAAACUCAUGAGUGCAUCAUGUUAAUUUGAGUUCUUUGUUGCGAUUAUACAUUUUACAGCUAAGUUACUGAUUGCCAUUAUUUGGACUUUCUUUGUGUUCAUUUGUCUGCCAGCAUAAAAAGUGUCUCCUGUACUUGGCAUUAAUUAUCCUUGGCAUGUGUGUUGUUAUUAUAGCUUAAGAAAAUUAUUGAGAUUUUUUGGAAUGCUACUCAUAUUUAUUUAGCUUUAUUCUUCACAAGGCUCAUGGCAGCAUGAGUGCAAUAUGCUCUUAUCCUAUUCAUGUUAAAUUCGUAUCCUCCUGUGCAAAAGGUAUGCAGCACGGUUAUAUACACGUUAUCUAGUACCAGAAGAAGUUCUCUUUGGCUUGAUAGAGGCGUAGAACGUUUUUGUUUCCCUCUGUAAUAACUGACAUCUGAAAAUUUAUGCAGAUUUUAGAUUUUGCUGUUUUUGCAAGACCUGAAUUUGAUGUACCCAUAUUUUGUGCCAACUUUUUCUCCACUGCCACCAUAAACAUCAUUGUGUUGUAAGCUCCCUCCUCUUCCCUUCUCUGUGCUUUUCUAAGCCCUGUUUUAUUCCUUGUAUGGAAAAUUGUUUCUGCUUCUGUUUGGAUUUUUGUUUGCUUGUUCAGCUUCCUAUUUUCAUUCUAUUUCUUAGAAUUUCUCUUGAAAAUUUAUAUGCGCAAAUCUGAUAUGGAAUAAGAAAAGGAAAUGAAGCUCAUCAUUGGAGAUUUAGUGCUCCCUACUGUUUCAGGGACGAUACCGCUUUCUUGUUUGAUUUGCAUGCAUGCCUUCUUUUGUUGGUUUGUUUCAACCAGGAACAAUCGUUUGUCCUUUUUUUUGGCAUCAAACUUGAGAUUUUAUUCCUAUAAGCUGGAAUUAAUUGCUGACGUGCUAAGGUUUCUGGAACUUUUAACCCAUUGUAGGGACCUCAACCCCUUGCACAAUGUCAUUGACCAAAGAGACUACAAGGAAAAGUACUUUAAAAGAUUAAUUCCUUUAGGCCUCAAGUAUAGCAAGGUAACUUCAAUGCCUCUCGUGGAACAUUAAACACAAUGGUAUUUGUUAUUUGUUUCUUGAUCCAGUCUAAAAUUAAUGGUAUGGUGACUGAACACAGAUUUCAUGCAGCUUUUUCCUUGGGGAGGAAAGCUCACGAGCGAGUCCUUGAAGUUUUUCUCACCGAUCGUGAUAUGGACCAAGUUUCCUCCAAGUCAGGAUAGUUAUGAUGCUUUAUAUUCUGCUUUACAUUUAAGCUAAUAUGCUAAUGAUGAGAUAUAAAUUAUAAACUGGAAACGGGAUGAGAAUCCACAUGGAUUUAGUAGUUCAAAUGUCAAAUAAAAUGUAGAAUUCCAAUUUUAGCUGCUCAUUUAUCAUCCUCCUCUUCUCUUUUAGGCAUGGCUUGAACUGAUUGACCAAGCACCAGAGGAGAUAGAUGCAUCUCAUAUUACAUGCAAUCGUGAAGCACAACAUAAGUAUCUAACGUGGAGAGAAGAAAAGGUGAUUAUUUAAUGUCCUUUUCCCCUUUUGAUCUCAUCUUCAUGUGGCCCAUCAUAUCUGCCAGUCUCUUCUCAUUGGCUGUAGGACUUAAAAAAGCUUAGAUGCUUGGAAGUAAUCAUGGCAUGUCUUCAAUUUUCUACUUUUCUUCGUUUGAAAAUGUUUCAAGUAAGUUCUGUGACUGUAAUUUGAGUGCCAAAGAGCUGGGCCGUGAUAAGCUUUUUUAAGCCCUUGCAUUUUAGCUUUAGAGAUUAGAAAUGGUCAUUUGAAUACUAAAAAAUAAAGGGUCCUAAUUGAGCGAAAUUGCCAUCUCUAGACUAACUGUAUGAGAAAUUUGGUUCCUUGAAGUAAAAUAAAGACAGAAAAAUGCUUGUUUUCUAUAUUAUUUUAAUUAAGUUCGUGAUUCAUUUGGAAUAAAAUGAAUAAAAAAAUGAAACAGAUGCUUUCUGCCGCAAAAAGUUGUCCGAGCAACUAACAUCUUGAAGAGGGAUUUUAGCUUCAAGGCAGGAUGAACUCCAAUUGGUUGCCCAGUUUUAGGAAAGAAAACGCCUGAAAAGUACCUAAACUUGUUAGCAUUAAGGCCCAAUCCAAACCCGUGCUCUUUCUCGGACUCUCAGAACUGACUAGGCAUAUUGGUACCUUCAGAUAGAUGUAUCAUUUAUGUAGUACUGUAAUUCCAUAAUUACAGUAUUUAAGCAGAUAGAUUCUUGGCACAGUUUCAAACUUCUCUCUUUUCUGGUCCAACUGUUUGGCUAAUGCAAAUUCUGGAAGCAGGAUCCUGGCCAUGGAAUUCUUAAAAGGUUGAUUGGAGAAAGGCUUGCAAAGGUAUAAUCACUCUCAACAAAUCUUCUUACAUUGUUUGCCACCAAUACUGAUGCAAUUCUCACUUCACAUCUAAUCCGUAGGACUUGGUUAGAAACUUCCUCUUCAAUGGACUUGAUGAACUAGGCAGUAAAGGAUUUUUGGAUUACUUUCCAGAAUAUCGCCGCGAGGAUGGUUCUAUAAACGAGAAGCGCAGCAUCAUUGGAAAGUCUUUUGAAAAUCGUCCCUGGGAUGCAAGAGGAGAAUUCAUCGGUGGUAAUGGUGUCGUACCGUCUUAACUUUUAUCGUUCUCUGGUUUUUCUCAUCCCUUGUCCUUAUGAUUCACCAGUUCUCUAAAUUUUGGAAAUUUUGUUUCCUGAGAAAAAUAGAAACCUCCCUUGGUAUCAUAUUUUUUACUCAAGAUACUGUAUUUGUGUAUUUACGAAGUUUGCUGUUUUGUCA